RNAcentral lists this ribosomal RNA (1003 nucleotides) under Elphidium sp. S5. RNAcentral describes it as "SSU rRNA". It matches the Rfam family "Eukaryotic small subunit ribosomal RNA". Lineage: Eukaryota; Foraminifera; Rotaliida; Elphidiidae. The record is from RNAcentral.
AAGGGCACCACAAGAACGCGUGGAUCAUGUGGCUUAAUUUGACUCAACGCGGGAAAUCUUACCGGGUCCGGACACACUGAGGAUUGACAGGUUAUGGGGCGGGUUGAAUUUCAAUCUCUUCGGGGAUUAAUUUUCUCCCACCUCAAAAAUAUGCUAGUCCUUUCAUGAUUAUGUGAUAGGUGGUGCAUGGCCGUUCUUAGUUCGUGGAGUGAUCUGUCUGCUUAAUUGCGUUUCACUAAAGGCGUCAUUAAUUUUUUGUGCCUGUGUUUGACCCCGCACUUCGGUGCGCGCGCGUCUUUCACACACAAUUACUUUGACGUCUGAAAGCAACGAACGUGACCGUAACCUCUUGUUGCCUUCUCUUCUCUUCGGAGAAUGCUGUUUUUUUUUCUUCACGGAAUUAAUUGCAGUAUACGGAGGCUUAAUACUCAGUAACUAGAGGGACCGCUGUUACUUUCUUUAAACCAGAGGAAGGUUGCGGCAAUAACAGGUCUGUGAUGCCCUUAGAUGUUCCGGGCUGCACACGUGAUACAUUGAUUACUUCAGUGAGUAUCUACGUAUUACUGCGCAGCAGUAUACGCGUGUUGUUUAUUGCUUCGGCAAUUUACUUUGCGCUAUACGCCGCCUUAACCUACUUCGAAAGUAUGUGGGUAACCAAUUAGAAGUAGUGAUUUCCCUCUUUAUAAGCACACUUAUAUGGAGCAUCAUCACCCGGCAUGCCUUGUGCAUGUUUUGUGUGUGUUGUUUGUCUACAUGUGCUUUUGUCAAUUCAUAGUGGGGACAGACCAUUGUUAAUUGUUGGUCUCGGUCUUAACUAGGAAUGCCUUGUACGAGUUUUUGGUUCAACAAACCACUCGGAAUACGUCCCUGCCCUUUGUACACACCGCCCGUCGCUCUUACCGAUGGAUUAUAUUAUGAGUUGGCAGGACCGUCCAGGAAAUGCCUGCGAAUAAUGUGAUCUAAAGGAAAGAGAAGUCGUAACAAGGCAUCRGUAGGUGAACCU